This 74-nucleotide transfer RNA is filed under the name Bacteroidales bacterium. Its description in RNAcentral is "tRNA-Arg". It matches the Rfam family "tRNA". From Rfam's summary of the family: Transfer RNA (tRNA) molecules are approximately 80 nucleotides in length. Their secondary structure includes four short double-helical elements and three loops (D, anti-codon, and T loops). Further hydrogen bonds mediate the characteristic L-shaped molecular structure. tRNAs have two regions of fundamental functional importance: the anti-codon, which is responsible for specific mRNA codon recognition, and the 3' end, to which the tRNAs corresponding amino acid is attached (by aminoacyl-tRNA synthetases). tRNAs cope with the degeneracy of the genetic code in two manners: having more than one tRNA (with a specific anti-codon) for a particular amino acid; and 'wobble' base-pairing, i.e. permitting non-standard base-pairing at the 3rd anti-codon position. The record is from RNAcentral. RNAcentral also lists the same sequence under 3 other names. Lineage: Bacteria; Pseudomonadati; Bacteroidota; Bacteroidia; Bacteroidales.
GGUCUGGUAGCUCAGCUGGAUAGAGCAACAGCCUUCUAAGCUGUGGGUCCCGGGUUCGAAUCCCGGCCGGAUCA